UAUGUUCAAUACACUAGGUUUAAUGCCACUUGAUGUCCAACCUAUGUUCUUUGGCACUAGAUUCAUAUCCUCUAUGUCCAACCUAUGUCCAUGACUCUAGGUUUAAUGCCACUCGAUCUAAUGUAUAUAAGAUUGUCCAUAUGCACAUUCCAUUUCUUAACUUAGUAUCUGUACAACAUGAUCAUCAGUAUAUCUUAGCAUUAGCAACAUGCUUGUAUUUAUUAUUUCUACAUCAUGCUUAUCAUACCAUUACUUAGCAUUACUCAAUGCAUUCAUCUAGCACUAUUUACACUAAGUCAUCAUGCAUUCCUCUUAUCAUGUUCUUAUAAUGUUAACAUUCAUAUGCCCUUUAUCUAUGCAUUCAAAGCAUUAAUCACAUACAUUUAUCUAGCAUUUCUAUAAUAUGUUAACAUGCAUCAAUAUGAAAUCUCAUUUCCUAUACAUAAAGGGCGACCUAGGUCGCUUCGGUAAACACAACCCACCUCAUUUCGCGUUCCGAUUGCUUGUCGACACUUGCAAUCGCCGCCCCGGCGACCCGCACUCGGUUUGGCCCGAUCUCUUGCACGACACCCGAACGGCUCCAAUUCACGAUCCGAAAAUUAAAGUAUUCGUUAUGUGCCACGAUGCUUCAAAUCCAUUUUCAUGAAUUUACGAUAUCGCCUCGGCCCUCCAGGCGAAAACGAAGCGCUAAACAUCCAUUUCUUUAAUAACUUCGCAAUGGCUCGACGAAUCGCCGAACGUCUUCCGCCAACGCGUUCGUUUACCUACAUUAGGUUUACGGAGGGUUAAAUGAGAUCAAACCCUCAUAUUUUACAAAAUCCCAUUUUCUAAGCCUAAUAUGAAUAAUCUCCAAAUAAUCCAAAUUAAAUGGAGCAAACAUGUUUAGAAUGCUCAUUAGAGCUAUUAGAACACUUAAGACUAAGGGAUUAAGCCAAUCCUAAAGCUUACCUCAAUGUGAACGCCGCGACGAAAACACACCGCUCAACGGGCCGCACUGAAAGCUCAAUCUCGUCGCCUCCAACGCGUUCGCGAGCAUCUUCUCCACCAACCCCGCGAAUUUGAGAGAGAGAUAUGGAGAGAUGAGAGAGAAAUCUAGAGAGAGGAAUGAAGGUUUCUCUCACUAGCACCAUGCGUGCGUGUGUGUGGGUGCUCGGCUGAAGGAGAGGAAGAAGAAGCUUCAGCUUCUUUAUAAUACACCCGACACUAUCCGUCCCGUGAAGCUCAUUAUAAUACACCUGACACUAUUCACCUCCCGGGCAGCAUGAAAUCUGAUAACUUUCAGCCGGAGCUCCCUGAAUGUCCGUUUGGAGCUCAAACUUGAGAGUCAUGUUCGGUUUUACUUAACUUAACAAGCCUGACGAUCACGUGUCAGUUUCGACCCCCGUUGGUCACUGAAAACUGUACCGAACUGCAAUCUUAUCAGAUAGCUUUCGGAUUUUAUUUCUCACUCUUGGGUGUCAGAAAAUAUGAAAAUUUUAAAUCUACCUCAUAAAAAUAUUUCUGACCAUCUCUGCAAUUUUCAUAAUUUUCUGAGACUGUGCAUUUCUGCUAAUUUAUACUGCCCGUUUUCCACAGAAAAUUCAUAAAUCUUCUGUUUUAAUUCCGAUUUCAGCAAAAGUCACUUCUGACUUAUGUUUUCUUCUAUAAAUCCAAUAAAAUAGUUUCCACACACUAUUUUAUUUAUUUUUAUUUUAUUACCAAAAUCUGGUAUGUUACAUUCUCCACCCUAAAAAGAAUUUCGUCCGCGAAAUUCAAACAACGCCUCAAUUCAGCUCCUUGAGCAAUUGAGGGUACCCACUCAUUCUCCCACUCCAAAGCGGCUUCACACAAUCGUGGUUCCAGAAGCGGCUCAUACUGAGGACAUGGUUUUAAUCCUAAACUCAUUUGGCAAAGUGUGAUACAAACGUGCAUCACGGGUCUUGCAAGUCAUAGUGGCACGCAAGUCGUACUCGACGACUCUACGCGCUCCAACACACUCGCCACUCGGUACGCAAAGAACUCUUCUUUGCACUGGCCUUCCUUUUGGAAUAUUCAUCAAUUCGAUCAGCCGACAUUGCUUAGAAGCAAUAUCACCGGUGCACUCGUUCCGUGCGUGAGUGCUCUAAUUUGGCACUGACCCUAAACGUUAACGUGAGAUGCCUAUCUUAGCACAUCCCCAAUUCCAUCCCUCCAAGUCCACGUGGCUUUACUACUCCGCUCAAGGUCCCACCACAGAGCACUUCAUCUUCUGAUACCAUAUGCCACGGUCAACAUCGAACUACUCGCAACGAGCUCACGCGAAGUGCUUCGUUCGUAAAUUCGAGUCAAAACUCCUCGAUAAGGCCACCUGCCAAAUCGCUCUCUUCGGUCUCUCACAGGUAGACCAAAGGCACCAAUCCUAGGUAGCCUACUAACCUAAACCUGUCUCAAUACGCAGCGUCUCCUCGCCGCAAAUGCAGAGCCCAAUCAUGAUCGGGCGAAAUUCUCACUUGGAAUUCGCACACACUCCAACCAGAGCAACUUAAGAUCCCAAACCACGUCAAGUCCGCGGUGGGUCAUAACUAUACUCGGUGUACCAUCGGUCACACAGUCUAUCGCGUGGCAUUCCACGCUCCCAAGCUUAAACUCGGACGUACCGUCCUGACCAGAACUCCGCCCUACCGCGUAGUACCGGGGGCCACUGUCACCCAAGCUGACUGCACCUGCCCAAAGGGCGCAGGCUCCACAGUCCACAAAUGGUCCAGGCAACAGGUCGUCCCAAGCACUACCCGCCGUCGUCGUCCUGCACGUCCAUACUCUAACCGAGUCACCAGUCCCACGAGUGAUCCAGGUAUCGCUUCACACCUGAGCAAUGCUCAAGUGCUACUGCCAAUACCUCACAUCGGUUGAAUCCACAUCCGUACUCUACGGGUCUCUACACUCGAGCGCUCUAAUGCCUCUACAGCGUUCCACCACGAAGUCCAGCAUUAGGCAAUCUUGCCUAUACACAACGUCGGCCGCACGAGCACAACCGCCUACCUCACCUUGAGGUACUACUAGGCCCACGUGCUCAGACUUGGCCGCUAAUCGACCGUUCUCUCAACAGUGAUGCCACUUUCAUCGUUCGAUCUACCGGAAUGACAUCCGAAAUUUUCGGGCCACUCGGGUGUUCUCAUAUGCAUCAUGGCUCAACUCUCGCGAUUUACAACUUAUAUUGCUCUGAGAGUUAUUUCGACACUUCUAUCUCUACCGCGAGUCUCACUUCUCGCCAUAGAUUACUUCUAGCACUUCGCUAGUGCCAUCUGGCUCUAUACCUGUACUGGCAGGUACUACGCCCUCACAUAAUACAAAACUCCAUUUCUAGAGCAAUCAAAUCUAUCUCUAGAAAUCCACCAUGAGAGAGAGCUUAGAAGCUUACUUCUCCAAGAAGCUCUAACCAAGGAAAAAAAAUGAAGAAGAUGAGGAAGACCUCUUUCUCCUUCUCUUUCUUUCCUUUCCUUCCUUCUUCCUCUUGUCUUCUAGAGAGAGAAAGAGAGAUAUGAGAGGGUGUGUGGGUGAGGAAUAAGAGAAAAGAGCUCUCAUACCCCUCACAUAGCCCCACAUGUUGCAUAAGCGCAAACAAGCCCCUUAACUUUUAUUCCUUUACACUGCCCUGACUGGGCCAUUUUCAGGUUCGGGGACCGGUCUCCCCGACGAGGGACCGGUCUCCGAGAGCUUCUCCCCGCAGUCAGCAGAGCUCACACCCGAUGCAACCGGUCUUUCUUUGGGGGACCGGUCUCUCAGGGACCGGUCUCUCCAGCAGGGACCGGUCUCCGAGAGCUGUCCACCAAGGACUUAGCCGAUUUUUCCUCCCUUUCGCUGUCUGCGCGUGCGGGGACCGGUCUCUCCCACCAGGGACCGGUCCCCGAGAGCACAAAACCUGCAGUUUUGCAGAUUUGAUUUCCAAAGCUCUCGAAGAUUCCCAGUAAUGCACUUUUGCAUUAUUUGACGCCUUCGGCCUUUUUGAAGCGUACCAACCUCGCUAUUUGGUCAAUUUGACCAAGGUUCGAUGUUCGCUUACCGAAGUUUCGGUAUAUUACAUACCCACUCGACAACUAGCCGAUCCUGGACGAAGUCCAACUCUCGGCUCUCGAGAAUUCACUUCAUUACGACCAUGCUAUACCGGUACACCCCUGGCAUUAAAUCGGUAACACAUGUUCCAGAAUCUCGAUUUUUUUUUUUUUUUUUUUGCACCGCUUCGACUCCAAUUCGCGUCGAGCAAUGCUAAAACUAUUCUAACUCUUUUAGAACUCAAUUCUAACCUUUCCAACAUUGUUGGAAUGUUAAUUGAACUUUGCCCAACUACUUCUCUCAACGCACUUUGGUCAAUUUGACCAAAACUAAUCUAACAUGAUGAGGAUUCCGUUAAUUUCUCAAAGAUCAUGAGAGACGCCAAAACUCGCGAAGCUUCCAAUCUCCGCUCGCCUCAAAUUGCCCAGGGACACCACUUGGCCCGUCUCACGCCAAUCUAAAUGAAGAUCGCCUACGCAGUGCUAUCGCUUUCUAAAACGCGACAACUUUAUAAAUCCUCGACCUUCUAGGUCGAACACGAAACACUUAAUACCGACUCAAAUCGGGCGAAAGUCACGCAAGGGCGUCUAUUCUCAUCACUCGACUUCAUGUUGUGUGCACCCAACAUGAACACCCUCUGUUGAGAAUAAACCUCACCUUGAGUCUACCUCUAACAUCCGUUUUAGAGGUUUAUGACACAACCCAAUCAAUUAACCUUUCGCCAAAAGAAACAAGUCCUCGUCUCUCACGAGCCUUAAUCUCCUAUGGUUUACUAUCCUAGGGUCUCCUAGGUCCAACUAAACCAUUUUCUAUUAUUCUUUUAUGUUCUCUUUAUGCUUCUUUUAUUCUCUGAUACCAUCUUAUCUGUCACGCCCCGCGACCGCCCGCCUAUUUGGCCGCGUCGCGGCGCCGCCGACAGAUCGCCGAACGGACAGGGUUUCCCCUGUACCGCGGACAGAGUCUCCCCUGUACGUUCAAGGCAUAGCAAUCAUACAGAUGUGCGAAGUUCCAAAGGAACACUUGCAAUCAAGGAUUGCAUAAUGGAAGGUAUCAACAAAAAUAACAUCCUAUGUUAUUACAUGCAUUCAUAUUCAUCAUUUUUAGAUCACAAAUCUCAUUGAUUUCCAAACAUUAGCUCAUUCAUUAACUUUCCAAAUACAAUCCAAUUUUAACAUGAUUAUUAAAUCUUAUUCCAUUCAUUUUUUACAUUUUAAGAAAGCCGACUCACGAGUACCGCUAUCUCUGGUCUCGGUCGGUAGGGCGCUAUACUAUGGAGUACGCCCUCGCCUCGGCGCGCGCGCUCACGUGUGAACCUAACCCCCAAACCGUGGGGUGAGACAAACUCCAUGGUUCCCAGUGGGGGUACGGCCACCCAAGGAAAGCUGACAAUAGUCCAAGGGAGGCAACUGCAAGUUAGUUCAAUAACAGGAUGAUAUAUAUCUUUAUUAUGCAACUAAUAAACCAUUGCUUUGCUCACGAAUGAUAUAAUGCCAUGCUAUAUACGAUAUGCACUAUUACAAGGUAGAAUGAUUGAUUUUACUUUGUUCAUGCUAUCCAUAGCUUUUUCAUAAUUUAUACAUCUUAUCACUUUACAUCAUUGGUUAUUUGCUCCUAGGUUGUUCCUCUACCCUAGCCAAGCUAUCACCCACUCGGUCUCGAAGUCAAUCAACUGCGAGAAUACCCACCAAAACUAGGCUGGCGAGUGAUGGACGUUCUCACAUACACCUCAGCAAUAAAUCUCUCAUACUGAGUACCAAACUCGUAACAUAAUGCUAUACAUUCACUUGGCUUUGACCCAUCUUACGGUUAACCAUGUUAACCCCAAUGACUCACAACCCAAAUCCCUUAAUAACGGGGGACUCGACCUCCCUAGGGACCGUUUCUGGGGGGACUUUACACGCCCGUGUGACAUCCCGGGCGCACGCGAGAGGGGAGCUACCUGCCCUCAAGCCAAGACUUAUCGUGAGUAUCGAUCAAUCUCAACUUGAGGAUUCAUAGACCACUAGUCACAAUGCCAAGUACGCCAUAGGUUUCUACCUAUUUAAUCAUGCUACUCUAUGUCAAAUGGUCCAAUGCCACUCUUUGUUAAACUAUGUUUAACAACUAUAUCCUCUAUGCAUAUCAAUGUCUCUAUUGUCAAUCUUGCCUUUGUUUACUAAUGUCCAAGUCCAACUCUCACAUUCACACAAUAAUAGGGUUCUAACAUACAUGUCCAUUAUGGUUCGAUCUUUCUCUAUGUUCAACUACGUUAGAAACAUGUCAUUGAAAGUAACUAAGGUUCACAUGUACUUAGCCCUAUUAUGUAUGAAUGAUACAAAUAUAUAUGCUCAAUGCCACAAGUGUUUGCUAGGUUCAUGACACUAGGUUCACACUACACUUGUUCAACCUAUGUUCAAUACACUAGGUUUAAUGCCACUUGAUGUCCAACCUAUGUUCUUUGGCACUAGAUUCAUUUCCUCUAUGUCCAACCUAUGUCCAUGACUCUAGGUUUAAUGCCACUCGAUCUAAUGUAUAUAGAUUGUCCAUAUGCACAUUUCCAUUUCUUAACAUUAGUAUCUCUACAACAUGAUCAUCAAAUAUAUCUUAGCAUUAGCCACAUGCUUGUAUUUAUUAUUUCUACAUUAUGCUUAUCAUACCAUUACUUAGCAUUACUCAAUGCAUUCAUCUAGCACUAUUUACACUAAGUCAUCAUGCAUUCCUCUUAUCAUGUUCUUAUAAUGUUAACAUUCAUAUGCCCUUUAUCUUAUGCAUUCAAAGCAUUAAUCACAUACAUUUAUCUAGCAUUUCUAUAAUAUGUUAACAUGCAUCAAUAUGAAAUCUCAUUUCCUAGACAUAAAGGGCGACCUAGUCGCUUCGGUAAACACAACCCACCUCAUUUCGCGUUCCGAUUGCUUGUCGACACUUGCAAUCGGCCGCCCGCGGCACCCGGCACUCGGUUUGGCCCGAUCUCUUGCGCGACCACCCGAACGGCCUCCAAUUCACGAUCCGAAAAUUAAAGGUUUUCGGUUAUGUGCCACGAUGCUUCAAAUCCAUUUUCAUGAAUUUACGAUAUCGCCUCGGCCCUCCAGGCGAAAACGAAGCCUAAACAUCCGUUUCUUUAAUAACUUCG
Molecule: long non-coding RNA, 7117 nt
Filed under: Ananas comosus (pineapple)
Lineage: Eukaryota; Viridiplantae; Streptophyta; Magnoliopsida; Poales; Bromeliaceae
Description: long non-coding RNA (ACOM_LNC035740)
Source: RNAcentral